CUGCAAUGCCAAGGCCAGCUCAUUGUUGUCGAUGACAGAGGCAGCUGCCACGUCCAGAGGCGUGGAGCCCUGCAUGCCUGUGAGGGCGAGAGGCAGAGAGAGUGCUCUUCAGAGAUAGCUCAGGUGGUCGAACAUGGAGCGCUGGUUCUGCCGGCUGAUGCGACAGAAGUAGCAGAGGAAGCGGCAGCAGCUUGUGACCAUCUUGGGGAAGCGGAUCUCCUGGGGCGGGCAGAGCGGGCCGCUGGUCAGUGCCUCCCCCCGUGGCCCCCUGCCCUGAGCUCCUCGGCCCACACAGGCCCCUUACCUUGGAUUCGCCACCACCGAGGACAUUCACCAUGACCUCCAUGACUGUCUCGUGCAUGCCCAGUGCCCGCAUCAGGUUCGGGUGUUGGUAGAAGACUUUGUUGUUCAUGAUGUUCCUGUGAAUAGAUCCCAACCCGUUCAAUCUUUACGUCUACUCUGGAUGGCAGGAAUUAAAUUACCCCGAUUGUACAGAUAAGGAAACUGAGGCAUGGAUCCAAGGUGGGCUCCCCUAGAGCAGAGACCCUCGCCAUGUUGCCUGUCGUAUCCCCAGAUGCCUAGAAAGGGCCUGGCACAAAGUAGGUGCUCAAUAAACGCUUGCUGAGUGAAUGAAUGAGGCACAUUCGA
Long non-coding RNA from Prionailurus viverrinus (fishing cat), 648 nucleotides. RefSeq lists it as uncharacterized. The transcript is spliced from 3 exons. The record is from RefSeq and is a predicted model, not a curated record. Lineage: Eukaryota; Metazoa; Chordata; Mammalia; Carnivora; Felidae.